AUAAGGUCCAUUGUCGAAAGGGGAACAGCCCAGAUCACCAGUUAAGGUCCCUAAAUUUAUGCUAAGUGGAAAAGGAUGUGGCGUUGCACAGACAACUAGGAUGUUGGCUCAGAAGCAGCCACCAUUUAAAGAGUGCGUAAUAGCUCACUAGUCGAGUGGCACUGCGCCGAAAAUAUACCGGGGCUAAGCAUAAUACCGAAACUGUGGGUGCACCCGUAAGGGUGCGCGGUAGGAGAGCGUUCUAAGGGCGUUGAAGGUCGAUCGUGAGGACGGCUGGAGCGCUUAGAAGUGAGAAUGCCGGCA
This 303-nucleotide ribosomal RNA is filed under the name Vibrio parahaemolyticus. RNAcentral's name for it is "partial 23S ribosomal RNA". It matches the Rfam family "Bacterial large subunit ribosomal RNA", at positions 998 to 1302 of the family's 2925-position model. The record is from RNAcentral. Lineage: Bacteria; Pseudomonadati; Pseudomonadota; Gammaproteobacteria; Vibrionales; Vibrionaceae.